Long non-coding RNA from Cydia splendana, 1636 nucleotides. RefSeq lists it as uncharacterized. The transcript has 3 exons. The record is from RefSeq and is a predicted model, not a curated record. Lineage: Eukaryota; Metazoa; Arthropoda; Insecta; Lepidoptera; Tortricidae.
GUUCAACACAAGUGACAUUGUCGCAGCAAACUUAACGCAGUAAAGGAACCGACUGAAUUUGUACAUUGAACAUACAUUGUUAAAUUUAACUACUAUACAAAUAUUUAUAUAUUUCGACAAAACUAGUUAUGAUCAUGCUUACGAUUGCGUUACUAGUAAACUUUACAUUACUAGUAACGCAAUCGUAAGCAUGAUCAUAAUUACUUUCAUUUUGUCGAAAUAUAUAAAUAUUUAUAUAGUAGUUAAACUUAACAAUGUAUGUUCAAUGUUCAGUCUCGGUCUUACGCUUGUCUCUAAUGGCGUAUUCCCAUGGUGGCUCAUGCCGAAGAACCAACCCUGGUACAACUUCUGGCGUCCGGAACGGCAUAUCUGGACAAAUAUCGAGGUACAUGAUAUCAUGUAGAGAAGCCUACAACUACCACCACCUCUGGCAGUACAACAAUCAAGAACUAAUGGCCUAUGACCGUUUCACCGGGAACAAAUGACUGGGAUUAAAUGAAUGCCUUAUGGCAUUAAGUCCGCCUUUUGUAAGGUUUUUCUUUUGUGCAAUAAGGAUUAAUUGAUUAAAGGUUGAUUUUUAUCUUUCUGUAUUAUUUGUAUUGUAAAGAGUAUUUAUAUUGUAUUGUAUUGUAAUCAUAUUUUAUUGUAUUGUAUUGUAUUGCAUUGUAUUGUAUUGUAUUGUAUUGUAUUGUAUUGUAUUGUAUUGUAUUGUAUUGUAUUGUAUUGUAUUGCAUUGCAUUGCAUUGCAUUGUAUUCUAUUAAAUAUAUAAGUAAAUAAAAUAACUGACGAGUAUCGCUAUACAACAGGGGACACCAGUUCAAGUUCUGUAACGGCAUUACUGGGCAAAUACCUAGGUACAUGAUACCUCGCUACCUCGGUACCUCGGUAUUUGUCCCGAAAAGCCCACGACUACCACCACCCCUGGCAGAACCCCAAUCAAGAACUAAUGCGCCCUAUGACCGUUUCACCGGUAACAAAUGACUAGGAUUGGAUGAAUGCCUUAUGGGCAAAUGCCGAGGUACAUGAUACCUUGUAAGGUUUUUCUUUUGUGCAAUAAAGAUUAAUUGAUUAAUGGUUGAUUUAUAUCUUUCUAUUUUUUGUAGGUACCCAUUGUUUUAUGUAAUGAGGUGUGCAAUACAGAGUAUUUGUAUUGUAUUGUAUUGUAUUGCAUUGGAUUGCAGUGCAUUGCUUUGCAUUGCAUUGUCAAAUAAAUGAUUUAUCUAUCUAUCUAUCUAUCAUUGCAUUGCAGUAAAUUGCAUUGCAUUGCAUUGCAUUACCUCGGUAUUUGUCCAGAGAUGCCCACGACUACCACCACCCAUGACAGUACCACAAUCAAGAACUAAUGCGCCCUAUGACCGUUUCACCGGUAACAAAUGACUAGGAUUGAAUGAAUGCCUUAUGGGCAAAUGCCGAGGUACAUGAUACCUUGUAAGGUUUUUCUUUUGUGCAAUAAAGAUUAAUUGAUUAAUGGUUGAUUUAUAUCUUUCUAUUUUUUGUAGGUACCCAUUGUUUUAUGUAAUGAGGUGUGCAAUACAGAGUAUUUGUAUUGUAUUGUAUUGUAUUGCAUUGGAUUGCAGUGCAAUGCUUUGCAUUGCAUUGUCAAAUAAAUGAUUUAUCUAUCUAUCUAUCUAUCUA